CCGGCCGACCCCCGCCGCGGGGCGUGUGUGCGCGCGGGGAGAGACUGCAGAGGCCGGGUGACUCGUGCUGAAGGAGAAAGGCAACAAAAAAUAAAAAAGGAACAGAUGACUUCAUUCUCGGGAAGGCUCCGUCCUACGUGGACCAAUUUCCUGGGGACACAGCUCGGCUGCCGUUGGAAGCACUUAAAACUAAACCAGAUAAAGACCAGAAAAUUCUCAGCAUUGCCUGAGCCGAUCAAGGGCAGGUUGGUGGUGGGCAAAGUGAGGCCCAGAGAGGAGAAGAGACCUGACCGAGAUCUGCCACUGGUUAGAGGUGUUCUUGCCUUCCAUUAGGGUUCUUCACUACCCCACUCUGAUCCUUCUGUGGAAUUAUCUGUACGGAUCAUAAGUUCAGGAGCUGGGGGGCAGAAGGCUCUGAAGUCAGACUGCCUACGUUCAAGUACUUACUUCUAAGUGAGACCUGGGACAAAUGAAUUCUUCUCUCUGAGCCCCCACGGUCUUGUGUGUUAAGUGGGGUUGACAGCACCAGCCCUGGGUUGUCUUAAGGAAUAAAGGUGGCCCAGGAAAAGUCCUGGGACUAACA
Molecule: non-coding RNA, 583 nt
Organism: Leptonychotes weddellii (Weddell seal)
Lineage: Eukaryota; Metazoa; Chordata; Mammalia; Carnivora; Phocidae
Source: RefSeq, a predicted model, not a curated record